CACGUAAGCUGCGAGCGUUGUUCGGAAUUAUUGGGCGUAAAGGGCAUGUAGGCGGUUCUGCAAGUCUGGUGUGAAAUGCCGGGGCUCAACCCCGGAACUGCGUUGGGAACUGCAGGACUUGAAUCGCUGAGGGGCAGCCAGAAUUCCAGGUGUAGGGGUGAAAUCUGUAGAUAUCUGGAAGAAUACCAAUGGCGAAGGCAGGCUGCCAGCAGAUGAUUGACGCUGAGGUGCGAAAGCGUGGGGAGCAAAC
This 250-nucleotide ribosomal RNA is filed under the name uncultured prokaryote. RNAcentral's name for it is "partial 16S ribosomal RNA". It matches the Rfam family "Bacterial small subunit ribosomal RNA", at positions 524 to 773 of the family's 1533-position model. The record is from RNAcentral.